This 61-nucleotide microRNA precursor is filed under the name Pristionchus pacificus. RNAcentral describes it as "mir-8364 microRNA precursor family". It matches the Rfam family "mir-8364 microRNA precursor family". Lineage: Eukaryota; Metazoa; Nematoda; Chromadorea; Rhabditida; Neodiplogasteridae. The record is from Rfam by way of RNAcentral.
UCUUCAUAUCACGCGCUCUCUCACCUGUCAGAGAAGCGAUAGAGUGUGUGAAAUGAAGAGA